RNAcentral lists this ribosomal RNA (643 nucleotides) under uncultured bacterium. RNAcentral describes it as "bacterial SSU rRNA". It matches the Rfam family "Bacterial small subunit ribosomal RNA", at positions 202 to 842 of the family's 1533-position model. The record is from RNAcentral.
AAAAGGAAGUGAUUCCGGCGGAGGAUGGGCAUGCAGCGCAUUAGCUGGUUGGCGGGGUAACGGCCCACCAAGGCGACGAUGCGUAGGGGUUCUGAGAGGAAGGUCCCCCACACUGGUACUGAGACACGGACCAGACUCCUACGGGAGGCAGCAGUGAGGAAUAUUGGUCAAUGGGCGGGAGCCUGAACCAGCCAAGUCGCGUGAGGGAAGACGGUCCUAUGGAUUGUAAACCUCUUUAGGCGGGGAGCAAUGCCGGGCACGCGUGCCCGGAGGGAGAGUACCCGCAGAAUAAGCAUCGGCUAACUCCGUGCCAGCAGCCGCGGUAAUACGGAGGAUGCGAGCGUUAUCCGGAUUUAUUGGGUUUAAAGGGUGCGUAGGCGGAUUUUUAAGUCAGCGGUAAAAUGUCCGGGCUCAACCCGGGCCGGCCGUUGAAACUGGGGAUCUUGAGUGGGCGAGAAGUAUGCGGAAUGCGUGGUGUAGCGGUGAAAUGCAUAGAUAUCACGCAGAACUCCGAUUGCGAAGGCAGCAUACCGGCGCCCGACUGACGCUGAGGCACGAAAGCGUGGGGAUCGAACAGGAUUAGAUACCCUGGUAGUCCACGCAGUAAACGAUGAAUGCUAGUUGUCCGGUUCUUUGGGACUGG